RNAcentral lists this transfer RNA (77 nucleotides) under Salibacterium qingdaonense. RNAcentral's name for it is "tRNA_Arg_ACG". It matches the Rfam family "tRNA". Rfam says of the family: Transfer RNA (tRNA) molecules are approximately 80 nucleotides in length. Their secondary structure includes four short double-helical elements and three loops (D, anti-codon, and T loops). Further hydrogen bonds mediate the characteristic L-shaped molecular structure. tRNAs have two regions of fundamental functional importance: the anti-codon, which is responsible for specific mRNA codon recognition, and the 3' end, to which the tRNAs corresponding amino acid is attached (by aminoacyl-tRNA synthetases). tRNAs cope with the degeneracy of the genetic code in two manners: having more than one tRNA (with a specific anti-codon) for a particular amino acid; and 'wobble' base-pairing, i.e. permitting non-standard base-pairing at the 3rd anti-codon position. Lineage: Bacteria; Bacillati; Bacillota; Bacilli; Caryophanales; Bacillaceae. The record is from RNAcentral.
GCGCCCGUAGCUCAAUUGGACAGAGCGUCUGACUACGGAUCAGAAGGUUAGGGGUUCGACUCCUCUCGGGCGCACCA